GGGGGAGCUCUUUUUUGUGGAAGGAGAUGUGUUUCCACUUUUUUGAUGUGAUGGCCUAGAUUAGUUUGGUCAUGGGUGAUGGUUGAAUGAUUGACAUGAUCCGAGAUCAGUGGGUGGCUGACAUUUCACUUUUUCGAUGGCCGACCUUCAUCAGCUUAGAGGUGGGUGAAGCCCUCAUGGUCAAUGAUUUGUUUUAGUCUAGGGGAGGAGUUGGAAUGAGC
RNAcentral lists this long non-coding RNA (221 nucleotides) under Elaeis guineensis (African oil palm). Its description in RNAcentral is "long non-coding RNA (EGUI_LNC003679)". The record is from RNAcentral. Lineage: Eukaryota; Viridiplantae; Streptophyta; Magnoliopsida; Arecales; Arecaceae.